RNAcentral lists this ribosomal RNA (253 nucleotides) under uncultured bacterium. RNAcentral's name for it is "partial 16S ribosomal RNA". It matches the Rfam family "Bacterial small subunit ribosomal RNA", at positions 524 to 776 of the family's 1533-position model. The record is from RNAcentral.
UACGUAGGGUGCGAGCGUUAAUCGGAAUUACUGGGCGUAAAGCGCUCGUAGGCGGUUUGUCGCGUCUGCUGUGAAAACUGGGGGCUCAACCCCCAGCCUGCAGUGGGUACGGGCAAACUAGAGUGCGGUAGGGGAGAUUGGAAUUCCUGGUGUAGCGGUGGAAUGCGCAGAUAUCAGGAGGAACACCGAUGGCGAAGGCAGAUCUCUGGGCCUUACCUGACGCUGAGGAGCGAAAGCGUGGGUAGCGAACAGG